RNAcentral lists this ribosomal RNA (731 nucleotides) under uncultured bacterium. RNAcentral describes it as "bacterial SSU rRNA". It matches the Rfam family "Bacterial small subunit ribosomal RNA", at positions 771 to 1501 of the family's 1533-position model. The record is from RNAcentral.
AACAGGAUUAGAUACCCUGGUAGUCCAUGCCGUAAACGAUGUCUACUAGCCGUUGGGGCCUUUGAGGCUUUAGUGGCGCAGCUAACGCGAUAAGUAGACCGCCUGGGGAGUACGGUCGCAAGACUAAAACUCAAAUGAAUUGACAGGGGCCCGCACAAGCGGUGGAGCAUGUGGUUUAAUUCGAUGCAACGCGAAGAACCUUACCUGGCCUUGACAUACUAAGAACUUUCCAGAGAUGGAUUGGUGCCUUCGGGAACUUAGAUACAGGUGCUGCAUGGCUGUCGUCAGCUCGUGUCGUGAGAUGUUGGGUUAAGUCCCGCAACGAGCGCAACCCUUUUCCUUAUUUGCCAGCGGGUAAUGCCGGGAACUUUAAGGAUACUGCCAGUGACAAACUGGAGGAAGGCGGGGACGACGUCAAGUCAUCAUGGCCCUUACGGCCAGGGCUACACACGUGCUACAAUGGUCGGUACAAAGGGUUGCUACCUCGCGAGAGGAUGCUAAUCUCAAAAAGCCGAUCGUAGUCCGGAUCGCAGUCUGCAACACGACUGCGUGAAGUCGGAAUCGCUAGUAAUCGCGGAUCAGAAUGCCGCGGUGAAUACGUUCCCGGGCCUUGUACACACCGCCCGUCACACCAUGGGAGUUUGUUGCACCAGAAGUAGGUAGUCUAACCGUAAGGAGGACGCUUACCACGGUGUGGCCGAUGACUGGGGUGAAGUCGUAACAAGGUAACC